Molecule: ribosomal RNA, 1421 nt
Filed under: uncultured Bradyrhizobium sp.
Lineage: Bacteria; Pseudomonadati; Pseudomonadota; Alphaproteobacteria; Hyphomicrobiales; Nitrobacteraceae
Description: 16S ribosomal RNA
Rfam family: Bacterial small subunit ribosomal RNA
Source: RNAcentral
UGGCGGCAGGCUUAACACAUGCAAGUCGAGCGGGCAUAGCAAUAUGUCAGCGGCAGACGGGUGAGUAACGCGUGGGAACGUACCUUUUGGUUCGGAACAACUGAGGGAAACUUCAGCUAAUACCGGAUAAGCCCUUACGGGGAAAGAUUUAUCGCCGAAAGAUCGGCCCGCGUCUGAUUAGCUAGUUGGUGAGGUAAUGGCUCACCAAGGCGACGAUCAGUAGCUGGUCUGAGAGGAUGAUCAGCCACAUUGGGACUGAGACACGGCCCAAACUCCUACGGGAGGCAGCAGUGGGGAAUAUUGGACAAUGGGCGCAAGCCUGAUCCAGCCAUGCCGCGUGAGUGAUGAAGGCCCUAGGGUUGUAAAGCUCUUUUGUGCGGGAAGAUAAUGACGGUACCGCAAGAAUAAGCCCCGGCUAACUUCGUGCCAGCAGCCGCGGUAAUACGAAGGGGGCUAGCGUUGCUCGGAAUCACUGGGCGUAAAGGGUGCGUAGGCGGGUCUUUAAGUCAGGGGUGAAAUCCUGGAGCUCAACUCCAGAACUGCCUUUGAUACUGAAGAUCUUGAGUUCGGGAGAGGUGAGUGGAACUGCGAGUGUAGAGGUGAAAUUCGUANAUAUUCGCAGGAACACCAGUGGCGAAGGCGGCUCACUGGCCCGAUACUGACGCUGAAGCACGAAAGCGUGGGGAGCAAACAGGAUUANAUACCCUGGUANUCCACGCCGUAAACGAUGAAUGCCANCCGUUAGUGGUUUUACUCACUAGUGGCGCAGCUAACGCUUUAAGCAUUCCGCCUGGGGAGUACGGUCGCAAGAUUAAAACUCAAAGGAAUUGACGGGGGCCCGCACAAGCGGUGGAGCAUGUGGUUUAAUUCGACGCAACGCGCAGAACCUUACCAGCCCUUGACAUCCCGGUCGCGGACUCCAGAGACGGAGUUUUUCAGUUCGGCUGGACCGGAGACAGGUGCUGCAUGGCUGUCGUCAGCUCGUGUCGUGAGAUGUUGGGUUAAGUCUCGCAACGAGCGCAACCCCCGUCCUUAGUUGCUACCAUUUAGUUGAGCACUCUAAGGAGACUGCCGGUGAUAAGCCGCGAGGAAGGUGGGGAUGACGUCAAGUCCUCAUGGCCCUUACGGGCUGGGCUACACACGUGCUACAAUGGCGGUGACAAUGGGAUGCUAAGGGGCGACCCUUCGCAAAUCUCAAAAAGCCGUCUCAGUUCGGAUUGGGCUCUGCAACUCGAGCCCAUGAAGUUGGAAUCGCUAGUAAUCGUGGAUCAGCACGCCACGGUGAAUACGUUCCCGGGCCUUGUACACACCGCCCGUCACACCAUGGGAGUUGGUUUUACCUGAAGACGGUGCGCUAACCGAAAGGGGGCAGCCGGCCACGGUAGGGUCAGCGACUGGGGUGAAGUCGUAACAAGGUAUCC